GAAUUUUGGACAAUGGGGGCAACCCUGAUCCAGCCAUCCCGCGUGUGCGAUGAAGGCCUUCGGGUUGUAAAGCACUUUUGGCAGGGAAGAAAAGGCUCUGGCUAAUACCUGGAGCUGCUGACGGUACCUGCAGACUAAGCACACGCCAACUACGUGCCAGCCGCCGCGGUAAUGCGUAGGGUGCAAGCGUUAAACGGGAUUACUGGGCGUAAAGCGGGCGCAGGCGGUUCGGCAAGAAGGAUGUGCAAUCCCAGGUCUUAACCUUGGAACUGCCUUCUUAACCGCCGGGCUAGAGUAUGUCAGAGGGGGGUAGAAUUCCGCGUGUAGCAGUGAAAUGCGUAGAGAUGCGGAGGAAUACCGAUGGCGAAGGCAGCCCCCUGGGAUAAUACUGACGCUCAUGCACGAAAGCGUGGGGAGCAAAC
Molecule: ribosomal RNA, 422 nt
Filed under: uncultured bacterium
Lineage: Bacteria
Description: partial 16S ribosomal RNA
Rfam family: Bacterial small subunit ribosomal RNA
Source: RNAcentral